RNAcentral lists this ribosomal RNA (253 nucleotides) under uncultured bacterium. Its description in RNAcentral is "partial 16S ribosomal RNA". It matches the Rfam family "Bacterial small subunit ribosomal RNA", at positions 524 to 776 of the family's 1533-position model. The record is from RNAcentral.
UACGUAGGGCGCAAGCGUUGUCCGGAAUUAUUGGGCGUAAAGAGCUCGUAGGCGGUUUGUCGCGUCUGCUGUGAAAACCUAAGGCUCAACCUUGGGCUUGCAGUGGGUACGGGCAGACUAGAGUGCGGUAGGGGUGACUGGAAUUCCUGGUGUAGCGGUGGAAUGCGCAGAUAUCAGGAGGAACACCGAUGGCGAAGGCAGGUCACUGGGCCGCAACUGACGCUCAUGGUCGAAAGCGUGGGGAGCAAACAGG